Molecule: non-coding RNA, 207 nt
Organism: Vicia faba (fava bean)
Lineage: Eukaryota; Viridiplantae; Streptophyta; Magnoliopsida; Fabales; Fabaceae
Source: the annotation of a GenBank genome assembly
AUGUAUACAAAGGUGAAAAAAGCCAACAAAUCUAGUAUUCGAUACUCGGUUAGAGUUGAUGCAGAAACCGACAAGGUUGAAGGUGAACAUGCUGAUGAUUUUUUGGGUUACAUUGCGUUACAUGGUAAAAGUAAAGAUCAGUUUAUUGUUACUCCAAAUGAUAAGUGCGUGAAAACAAAAAUGUUUUCUUAUUGUGGUGAGCGUUAG